CGCCCCUAGAAAAAUAAUAGGGGUCUCGCCUGCCCAGUGAUGAGAAUUAAACGGCCGCAGUUAAUAGCUGUGCUAAGGUAGCGCAAUCAAUUGUCCCUUAAUAGAGGAAUGGUAUGAAUGGCUGGACGUGAGAUAAGCUGUCUCUAUUACAACAGCAUGAAAUUUUCCUUUAAGUGAAAAGACUUAAAUUUUUAUAAAAGACGAGAAGACCCUAUCGAACUUAAUAAUCAAUUAAAACAAAAAUUAAUUGAGAAAUUUUACUGGGGCAGUAAGAAGAAAAAAUAAUUCUUCCAAAAUCCAAAGAUCCCUUAAUAAGGAAAAAAGAAAAAGUUACCGUAGGGAUAACAGCGUUAUCAUUUUUAAGAGAACUAAUCGAAAAAAUGGUUUGCGACCUCGAUGUUGGAUUCAAGUUUCUUCCUUGGCGCAGGAGCUAGGAAAGUAGGUCUGUUCGCCCUUUUAAACUUG
RNAcentral lists this ribosomal RNA (465 nucleotides) under Mytilopsis leucophaeata (dark false mussel). Its description in RNAcentral is "partial 16S ribosomal RNA". It matches the Rfam family "Bacterial large subunit ribosomal RNA", at positions 1832 to 2597 of the family's 2925-position model. The record is from RNAcentral. Lineage: Eukaryota; Metazoa; Mollusca; Bivalvia; Myida; Dreissenidae.